UGUUAAUUGUUAAUUCCAAGUGUGGAAUUUCUAGAAUUGUUUUAGCUAUGAACAGGACAUUUGUUAUUAGCCUCAAUGGCUCCCGAUUGCUGUCAUACGACACCAGUGCACGGCGUUUGAACGAUAUAACUGGAGCUAAUCCAAUUCGAGCCGACGUAUUAGCCGGCAAUGUAACCUUGGUUGUCGCGCUUUUCGAGGAUUGUUCAUUCGCAUUGUUUGAGUUGAUGCCGAUGCCGGCGGCCAGCCAGUUGAAAACGGUUCUCCGAACGUUGGCUACCAAUGCCCCAUUUGUCUGCGUGCCCCACGCGACCAUGAGCCAGUGGCUACUAAAUGUGGCCACAUCUUUUGCCGUGCCUGCAUCGAAACCAGCAACCAUAUGUUCCAUAUUGUCCCAUAUGCAAUGGGGAAGUGUCCGCAGCUCAGUUGCUACGCCUUUACAUGUAAGCCUUCGAUGCUAACUCCAAUUUGGAGUACUUCCCGGACUUACUUGUGUUCAAAUAAACAAACUUGGCUAUACAAAUAAUCUUGCAGCUA
Drosophila subobscura is the source of this 534-nucleotide long non-coding RNA. RefSeq lists it as uncharacterized. The record is from RefSeq and is a predicted model, not a curated record. NCBI's taxonomy places the organism in Eukaryota, Metazoa, Arthropoda, Insecta, Diptera, Drosophilidae. The transcript has 2 exons.